RNAcentral lists this ribosomal RNA (502 nucleotides) under uncultured bacterium. RNAcentral describes it as "bacterial SSU rRNA". It matches the Rfam family "Bacterial small subunit ribosomal RNA", at positions 29 to 525 of the family's 1533-position model. The record is from RNAcentral.
AUUGAACGCUGGCGGCAUGCCUUACACAUGCAAGUCGAACGGCAGCGCGGGAGCAAUCCUGGCGGCGAGUGGCGAACGGGUGAGUAAUAUAUCGGAACGUGCCCAGUAGUGGGGGAUAGCCCGGCGAAAGCCGGAUUAAUACCGCAUGAGACCUGAGGGUGAAAGCGGGGGAUCGCAAGACCUCGCGCUAUUGGAGCGGCCGAUAUCAGAUUAGCUAGUUGGUGGGGUAAAGGCCUACCAAGGCAACGAUCUGUAGUUGGUCUGAGAGGGCGACCGGCCACACUGGAACUGAGACACGGUCCAGACUCCUACGGGAGGCAGCAGUAGGGAAUAUUGGACAAUGGGCGCAAGCCUGAUCCAGCCAUGCCGCGUGAGUGAAGAAGGCCCUCGGGUUGUAAAGCUCUUUUGUCCGGAAAGAAAAGCACUGGGUUAAUACCCCGGUGUCCUGACGGUACCGGAAGAAUAAGCACCGGCUAACUUCGUGCCAGCAGCCGCGGUAAGG